AUUGAACGCUGGCGGCAUGCCUUACACAUGCAAGUCGAACGGUAACGCGGGGCAACCUGGCGACGAGUGGCGAACGGGUGAGUAACGCAUCGGAACGUGCCCAGUAGUGGGGGAUAGCCCGGCGAAAGCCGGAUUAAUACCGCAUACGACCUACGGGUGAAAGGGGGGGAUCGCAAGACCUCUCGCUAUUGGAGCGGCCGAUGUCAGAUUAGGUAGUUGGUGGGGUAAAGGCCUACCAAGCCGACGAUCUGUAGCUGGUCGGAGAGGACGACCAGCCACACUGGGACUGAGACACGGCCCAGACUCCUACGGGAGGCAGCAGUGGGGAAUUUUGGACAAUGGGCGAAAGCCUGAUCCAGCCAUGCCGCGUGCGGGAAGAAGGCCUUCGGGUUGUAAACCGCUUUUGUCAGGGAAGAAAUCUUCUGAGCUAAUACCUCGGGAGGAUGACGGUACCUGAAGAAUAAGCACCAGCUAACUACGUGCCAGCAGCCGCCGUAA
This 498-nucleotide ribosomal RNA is filed under the name uncultured bacterium. Its description in RNAcentral is "partial 16S ribosomal RNA". It matches the Rfam family "Bacterial small subunit ribosomal RNA", at positions 29 to 523 of the family's 1533-position model. The record is from RNAcentral.